RNAcentral lists this ribosomal RNA (252 nucleotides) under uncultured Bacteroidales bacterium. RNAcentral describes it as "partial 16S ribosomal RNA". It matches the Rfam family "Bacterial small subunit ribosomal RNA", at positions 524 to 776 of the family's 1533-position model. Lineage: Bacteria; Pseudomonadati; Bacteroidota; Bacteroidia; Bacteroidales. The record is from RNAcentral.
UACGGAGGAUGCGAGCGUUAUCCGGAUUUAUUGGGUUUAAAGGGUGCGUAGGCGGCGAGUUAAGUCAGCGGUAAAAGCCCGGGGCUCAACCCCGGCGAGCCGUUGAAACUGGCGGGCUGGAGUUGGAGAGAAGUACGCGGAAUGCGCGGUGUAGCGGUGAAAUGCAUAGAUAUCACACAGAACACCGAUUGCGAAGGCAGCAUACCGGCGCCCAACUGACGCUGAGGCACGAAAGUGCGGGUAUCGAACAGG